Molecule: ribosomal RNA, 500 nt
Filed under: uncultured bacterium
Lineage: Bacteria
Description: partial 16S ribosomal RNA
Rfam family: Bacterial small subunit ribosomal RNA
Source: RNAcentral
AUUGAACGCUGGCGGAAUGCUUUACACAUGCAAGUCGAACGGCAGCACGGACUUCGGUCUGGUGGCGAGUGGCGAACGGGUGAGUAAUGUAUCGGAACGUGCCCAGGCGUGGGGGAUAACGUAGUGAAAAUUACGCUAAUACCGCAUACGAUCUAUGGAUGAAAGCGGGGGAUCGGAAGACCUCGCGCGAUUGGAGCGGCCGAUAUCAGAUUAGGUAGUUGGUGGGGUAAAGGCCCACCAAGCCAACGAUCUGUAGCUGGUCUGAGAGGACGACCAGCCACACUGGAACUGAGACACGGUCCAGACUCCUACGGGAGGCAGCAGUGGGGAAUUUUGGACAAUGGGCGAAAGCCUGAUCCAGCCAUUCCGCGUGCAGGAUGAAGGCCCUCGGGUUGUAAGCUGCUUUUGUACAGAACGAAAAGGUUUCUACUAAUACUAGGAGCUCAUGACGGUACUGUAAGAAUAAGCACCGGCUAACUACGUGCCAGCCGCCGCCGUAA